GUGUGUGUGUGGAUGGUGUUCAGCACCAGGGACAGGUUUGUGUGUGUGGAUGGUGUUCAGCACCAGGGACAGGUUUGUGUGUGU
RNAcentral lists this microRNA precursor (84 nucleotides) under Branchiostoma floridae (Florida lancelet). RNAcentral describes it as "mir-2060 microRNA precursor family". It matches the Rfam family "mir-2060 microRNA precursor family". Lineage: Eukaryota; Metazoa; Chordata; Leptocardii; Amphioxiformes; Branchiostomatidae. The record is from Rfam by way of RNAcentral.